UAGGGAAUCUUCCGCAAUGGGCGAAAGCCUGACGGAGCAACGCCGCGUGAGUGAUGAAGGUCUUCGGAUCGUAAAACUCUGUUAUUAGGGAAGAACAAAUGUGUAAGUAACUAUGCACGUCUUGACGGUACUUAAUCAGAAAGCCACGGCUAACUACGUGCCAGCAGCCGCGGUAAUACGUAGGUGGCAAGCGUUAACCGGAAUUAUUGGGCGUAAAGCGCGCGUAGGCGGUUUUUUAAGUCUGAUGUGAAAGCCCACGGCUCAACCGUGGAGGGUCAUUGGAAACUGGAAAACUUGAGUGCAGAAGAGGAAAGUGGAAUUCCAGGUGUAGCGGUGAAAUGCGCAGAGAUAUGGAGGAACACCAGUGGCGAAGGCGACUUUCUGGUCUGUAACUGACGCUGAUGUGCGAAAGCGUGGGGAUCAAACAGG
This 429-nucleotide ribosomal RNA is filed under the name Acidobacteriota bacterium. RNAcentral's name for it is "Acidobacteria bacterium partial 16S ribosomal RNA". It matches the Rfam family "Bacterial small subunit ribosomal RNA", at positions 355 to 776 of the family's 1533-position model. The record is from RNAcentral. Lineage: Bacteria; Pseudomonadati; Acidobacteriota.